This 237-nucleotide ribosomal RNA is filed under the name uncultured bacterium. RNAcentral's name for it is "partial 16S ribosomal RNA". It matches the Rfam family "Bacterial small subunit ribosomal RNA", at positions 96 to 334 of the family's 1533-position model. The record is from RNAcentral.
CGGCGAACGGGUGAGUAACACGUGGGUGACCUGCCCUUCACUCUGGGAUAAGCCUGGGAAACUGGGUCUAAUACCGGAUAUUCACUACUUGUUGCAUGGUGGGUGGUGGAAAGUUUUUUCGGUGGGGAUGGGCCCGCGGCCUAUCAGCUUGUUGGUGGGGUGAUGGCCUACCAAGGCGACGACGGGUAGCCGGCCUGAGAGGGCGACCGGCCACACUGGGACUGAGACACGGCCCAG